UACGGGAGGCAGCAGUGGGGAAUAUUGCACAAUGGGCGCAAGCCUGAUGCAGCCAUGCCGCGUGUAUGAAAAAGGCCUUCGGGUUGUAAAGUACUUUCAGUCGUGAGGAAGGUGUUAAGGUUAAUAACCUUAGCAAUUGACGUUAGCGACAGAAGAAGCACCGGCUAACUCCGUGCCAGCAGCCGCGGUAAUACGGAGGGUGCGAGCGUUAAUCGGAAUUACUGGGCGUAAAGGGCACGCAGGCGGUUAAUUAAGUUGGAUGUGAAAUCCCCGGGCUUAACCUGGGAAUGGCAUUCAAGACUGGUUAGCUAGAGUCUUGUAGAGGGGGUAGAAUUCCAUGUGUAGCGGUGAAAUGCGUAGAGAUGUGGAGGAAUACCGGUGGCGAAGGCGGCCCCUGGACAAAGACUGACGCUCAUGUGCGAAAGCGUGGGGAGCAAA
This 438-nucleotide ribosomal RNA is filed under the name uncultured bacterium. Its description in RNAcentral is "bacterial SSU rRNA". It matches the Rfam family "Bacterial small subunit ribosomal RNA", at positions 340 to 772 of the family's 1533-position model. The record is from RNAcentral.